UGGGUAACCUGCCCAAGAGAUCGGGAUAACACCUGGAAACAGAUGCUAAUACCGGAUAACAACAGAUGAUGCCUAUCAACUGUUUAAAAGAUGGUUCUGCUAUCACUCUUGGAUGGACCUGCGGUGCAUUAGCUAGUUGGUAGGGUAACGGCCUACCAAGGCGAUGAUGCAUAGCCGAGUUGAGAGACUGAUCGGCCACAUUGGGACUUAUACACGGCCCAAACUCCUACGGGAGGCAGCAGGU
This 244-nucleotide ribosomal RNA is filed under the name uncultured Lactobacillus sp. RNAcentral describes it as "partial 16S ribosomal RNA". It matches the Rfam family "Bacterial small subunit ribosomal RNA", at positions 118 to 354 of the family's 1533-position model. Lineage: Bacteria; Bacillati; Bacillota; Bacilli; Lactobacillales; Lactobacillaceae. The record is from RNAcentral.